AUUGAACGCUAGCGGGAUGCUUUACACAUGCAAGUCGAACGGCCGCGCGGACUUCGGUCUGGCGGCGAGUGGCGAACGGGUGAGUAAUGUAUCGGAACGUGCCCAGUAGCGGGGGAUAACUACGCGAAAGCGUAGCUAAUACCGCAUACGCCCUACGGGGGAACGCAGGGGAUCGUAAGACCUUGCACUAUUGGAGCGGACGAUAUCGGAUUAGCUAGUUGGUGAGGUAACGGCUCACCAAGGCGACGAUCCGUAGCUGGUUUGAGAGGCCGACCAGCCACACUGGAACUGAGACACGGCCCAGACUCCUACGGGAGGCAGCAGUGGGGAAUUUUGGACAAUGGCGGCAAGCCUGACGCAGCCAUCCCGCGUGUGCGAUGAAGGCCUUCGGGUUGUAAAGCACUGUUGUCAGGAAAGAAACGUCGCGUGCGAAUACCCCGUGGAACUGACGGUACCUGCAGAAUAAGCACCGGCUAACUACGUG
This 484-nucleotide ribosomal RNA is filed under the name uncultured bacterium. RNAcentral's name for it is "partial 16S ribosomal RNA". It matches the Rfam family "Bacterial small subunit ribosomal RNA", at positions 30 to 507 of the family's 1533-position model. The record is from RNAcentral.